This 693-nucleotide ribosomal RNA is filed under the name uncultured Fusobacterium sp. RNAcentral's name for it is "bacterial SSU rRNA". It matches the Rfam family "Bacterial small subunit ribosomal RNA", at positions 33 to 739 of the family's 1533-position model. The record is from RNAcentral. Lineage: Bacteria; Fusobacteriati; Fusobacteriota; Fusobacteriia; Fusobacteriales; Fusobacteriaceae.
ACGCUGACGGAAUGCUUAACACAUGCAAGUCAACUUGAAUUUGGGUUUUUAACUUAGAUUUGGGUGGCGGACGGGUGAGUAACGCGUAAAGAACUUGCCUCACAGCUAGGGACAACAUUUAGAAAUGAAUGCUAAUACCUGAUAUUAUGAUUUUAAGGCAUCUUAGAAUUAUGAAAGCUAUAAGCACUGUGAGAGAGCUUUGCGUCCCAUUAGCUAGUUGGAGAGGUAACAGCUCACCAAGGCGAUGAUGGGUAGCCGGUCUGAGAGGGUGAACGGCCACAAGGGGACUGAGACACGGCCCUUACUCCUACGGGAGGCAGCAGUGGGGAAUAUUGGACAAUGGACCGAGAGUCUGAUCCAGCAAUUCUGUGUGCACGAUGAAGUUUUUCGGAAUGUAAAGUGCUUUCAGUUGGGAAGAAAGAAAUGACGGUACCAACAGAAGAAGUGACGGCUAAAUACGUGCCAGCAGCCGCGGUAAUACGUAUGUCACGAGCGUUAUCCGGAUUUAUUGGGCGUAAAGCGCGUCUAGGUGGUUAUGUAAGUCUGAUGUGAAAAUGCAGGGCUCAACUCUGUAUUGCGUUGGAAACUGUAUAACUAGAGUACUGGAGAGGUAAGCGGAACUACAAGUGUAGAGGUGAAAUUCGUAGAUAUUUGUAGGAAUGCCGAUGGGGAAGCCAGCUUACUGGACAGAUA